CCUACGGGAGGCAGCAGUGGGGGAUAUUGCACAAUGGGGGGAACCCUGAUGCAGCGACGCCGCGUGGGUGAAGAAGCGCCUCGGCGCGUAAAGCCCUGUCAGCAGGGAAGAAAAUGACGGUAACUGAAGAAGAAGCCCCCGCUAACUACGUGCCAGCAGCCGCGGGAAUACGUAGGGGGGAAGCGUUAUCCGGAUUUACUGGGGGUAAAGGGGGCGCAGACGGGGAUGCAAGCCAGGAGUGAAAGCCCGGGGCCCAACCCCGGGACUGAUCUUGGAACUGCGUGGCUGGAGUGAAGGAGGGGCAGGCGGAAUUCCGGGUGUAGCGGUGAAAUGCGUAGAUAUCAGGAGGAACACCGGUGGCGAAGGCGGCCUGCUGGACUGCAACUGACGUUGAGGCCCGAAAGCGUGGGGAGCAAACAGGAUUAGAUACCCCAGUAGUC
Molecule: ribosomal RNA, 440 nt
Filed under: uncultured bacterium
Lineage: Bacteria
Description: partial 16S ribosomal RNA
Rfam family: Bacterial small subunit ribosomal RNA
Source: RNAcentral